This 495-nucleotide ribosomal RNA is filed under the name Megalospora tuberculosa. RNAcentral describes it as "mitochondrial SSU rRNA". It matches the Rfam family "Bacterial small subunit ribosomal RNA", at positions 547 to 1098 of the family's 1533-position model. The record is from RNAcentral. Lineage: Eukaryota; Fungi; Ascomycota; Lecanoromycetes; Teloschistales; Megalosporaceae.
UCUUUAAUAGGUUUAUGGGGUACUUAGACGGUAAAUCAAGCCUCAAAAAGGGACUAGUUUGCUAGAGUUUUAUGUGAGGAAGUAUUAAGGUACUGGUGGUGUAGAGAUGAAAUUCGAUGAUACCUUGAAUGGCACAGGUAUAGGCGAAAGCAUCUUCUUAUGUAAUAACUGACGUUAAAAGACGAAGGCUUUGUGUCUCGAACAGGAUUAGAUACCCUAGUAGUCAAAGCAGACAAUGAUGAAUGUCAUAGAUUGGAUUUAAAUUUAUUUAAUCUAUAAAUGAAAGUGUAAGCAUUCCACCUUAAGAGUAAUUUGGCAACAUUGGAACUGAAAUCAUUAGACCGUUUCUGAGACCAGUAGUGAAGUAUGUUGUUUAAUUUGAUGAUCCGCAAAAAACCUUACCACAACAUGAAUAGAUAAUUUUUAUCAUACAAGCGUUGCACGGCUGUCUUUAGUUAAUGUCAUGAGACUUUGGUUAGUUCCAUUAAAUUAACG